GCCGCAAUAGCUCAGAUGGUAGAGCGCUGUGUUGAAAACGCAGGCGUGGGUGGUUCGAUCCCAUCUUGCGGCACCA
This 76-nucleotide transfer RNA is filed under the name Caenimonas koreensis DSM 17982. RNAcentral's name for it is "tRNA-Phe". It matches the Rfam family "tRNA". From Rfam's summary of the family: Transfer RNA (tRNA) molecules are approximately 80 nucleotides in length. Their secondary structure includes four short double-helical elements and three loops (D, anti-codon, and T loops). Further hydrogen bonds mediate the characteristic L-shaped molecular structure. tRNAs have two regions of fundamental functional importance: the anti-codon, which is responsible for specific mRNA codon recognition, and the 3' end, to which the tRNAs corresponding amino acid is attached (by aminoacyl-tRNA synthetases). tRNAs cope with the degeneracy of the genetic code in two manners: having more than one tRNA (with a specific anti-codon) for a particular amino acid; and 'wobble' base-pairing, i.e. permitting non-standard base-pairing at the 3rd anti-codon position. The record is from RNAcentral. Lineage: Bacteria; Pseudomonadati; Pseudomonadota; Betaproteobacteria; Burkholderiales; Comamonadaceae.